Molecule: ribosomal RNA, 497 nt
Filed under: uncultured bacterium
Lineage: Bacteria
Description: partial 16S ribosomal RNA
Rfam family: Bacterial small subunit ribosomal RNA
Source: RNAcentral
GAUGAACGCUGGCGGCGUGCCUAAUACAUGCAAGUCGAGCGAACAGAUAAGGAGCUUGCUCCUUUGACGUUAGCGGCGGACGGGUGAGUAACACGUGGGUAACCUACCUAUAAGACUGGAAUAACUCCGGGAAACCGGGGCUAAUGCCGGAUAACAUUUAGAACCGCAUGGUUCUAAAGUGAAAGAUGGUUUUGCUAUCACUUAUAGAUGGACCCGCGCCGUAUUAGCUAGUUGGUAAGGUAACGGCUUACCAAGGCAACGAUACGUAUCCGACCUGAGAGGGUGAUCGGCCACACUGGAACUGAGACACGGUCCAGACUCCUACGGGAGGCAGCAGUAGGGAAUCUGCCGCAAUGGGCGAAAGCCUGACGGAGCAACGCCGCGUGAGUGAUGAAGGUCUUCGGAUCGUAAAACUCUGUUAUUAGGGAAGAACAAAUGUGUAAGUAACUGUGCACGUCUUGACGGUACCUAAUCAGAAAGCCACGGCUAACUACGUG